Molecule: ribosomal RNA, 440 nt
Filed under: uncultured bacterium
Lineage: Bacteria
Description: partial 16S ribosomal RNA
Rfam family: Bacterial small subunit ribosomal RNA
Source: RNAcentral
CCUACGGGAGGCAGCAGUGGGGAAUAUUGCACAAUGGGGGAAACCCUGAUGCAGCACCGCCGCGUGAGUGAUGACGGCCUUCGGGUUGUAAAGCUCUGUCUUCAGGGACGAUAAUGACGGUACCUGAGGAGGAAGCCACGGCUAACUACGUGCCAGCAGCCGCGGGAAUACGUAGGUGGCGAGCGUUGUCCGGAGUUACUGGGCGGAAAGGGAGCGUAGGCGGACUUUUAAGUGAGAUGUGAAAUACUCGGGCUCAACUUGAGUGCUGCAUUUCAAACUGGAAGUCUAGAGUGCAGGAGAGGAGAAUGGGAUUCCUAGUGUAGCGGUGAAAUGCGUAGAGAUUAGGAAGAACACCAGUGGCGAAGGCGAUUCUCUGGACUGUAACUGACGCUGAGGCUCGAAAGCGUGGGGAGCAAACAGGAUUAGAUACCCCGGUAGUC